GAGAAAACUUUAGAUAUGAUCCAGAGUACCACGGGACACGUGAAACCCUGUGGGAAGCAGGAGGGACCACCCUCCAAGGCUAAAUACUACCUAGUGACCGAUAGCGUAUAGUACCGUGAGGGAAAGGUGAAAAGAACCCCGGGAGGGGAGUGAAAUAGAACCUGAAACCCUGCACUUACAAGCUGUGGAAGCACAUUUCUUGUGUGACCGCGUACUUUUUGUAGAACGGGCCAACGAGUUACGUUAAGUAGCAAG
Molecule: ribosomal RNA, 255 nt
Filed under: Clostridioides difficile
Lineage: Bacteria; Bacillati; Bacillota; Clostridia; Peptostreptococcales; Peptostreptococcaceae
Description: partial 23S ribosomal RNA
Rfam family: Bacterial large subunit ribosomal RNA
Source: RNAcentral